UUAAAGUAAAAAGUGUGCUAAAGUAAUCAAAUUCAUAUUUUUAUUUCGUACAAAACUCUCUCGUCAUGCUGGGCAUUAUUAUAUCAUUCUACUGCUAGUUAAGUACGAGGCUAGAAGAAACAAAAUGCGCCUAAUGUGGUCGUGGUAGGCAAAACUAGAAGUAAAAAGACCUGGGUAACAAGAUUGGGAGCACGCAAACUUGAGGCUGAAUUUGAGACGCUGGCGCUAUGCUUGGACCUUGGACACACCUGUGUUGAUAUUUUGCAACAAGAAUUUUAAGUCAUGAGCCGCCAGCCAGGAUUAAAGCAGCUGGCGGGUACUCGUACCUGCAACGUUUCCCAAGGAGCGGCAAAACCCUGGCAGCUUUGACGUGACUGGCAAACUUUUUGGCAGGCGCCGCUAACGAGCUACGUUCUCUUAGAUUUGUAGUGUCAGGAUACCUUUUUUACGACUGCACUUCAGUGUGCCACAUGGCGGUGUGUGUUUGACCUCUGACACUAAAACAAUUUGCAAAGCAACAUGAUGUCAGCACGAGUGUCAUCGUCAGCGUCGGCGCUGCCAUAAUUCAGUUGAAACAUUCUUAAAGCACCGCUUGUCGUUAAGCUUCACGGAUGGAUAGCGCGUUAGCUGGUGGGACAAGUAGCUGGGCAGCCCCAGCUCCGCGCAUACCUCAUUAAAAAGUUUUCCAGCGACAACGUCGACAGCAGCGGCAGCAGCAACAGACACAUUGCCUAAGAAAAUGUUAGCAUGGACACAGAUCGCAUCGGGGCGGGGCCUGGCCUGGCCUGAGUAGCACCCUACCACCUUCAUGAUUAUCUAAGAGAUAUCUUAAAGAUAAUCCGAAACAGUGCGGAUGGCUCAACGCAAGCUCAAAAGUGAAAUGUUUCGACUUGUCAGCCAAGUCAUUAAUUAUUCAUAAUACUGCGGUCAGGCCUGGCCCAGCUCUGUCGUCUCUAUUACUAAACAUCUGUAUACCCUAGCAGAGUAUGCUACACUUUGGUGACAUUGAUAACAUCACAGGUAACAUUGAUAUAAAGCAGUGCACGCAACAUUUAAAAUGCAUUAUAAAUAGAAAUAGAAAUAUAAAUAUAAAUAUAACUCAUCAGUACUCGGAUGUAAA
Non-coding RNA from Drosophila virilis, 1120 nucleotides. The record is from RefSeq and is a predicted model, not a curated record. NCBI's taxonomy places the organism in Eukaryota, Metazoa, Arthropoda, Insecta, Diptera, Drosophilidae.